This 540-nucleotide ribosomal RNA is filed under the name uncultured bacterium. RNAcentral describes it as "bacterial SSU rRNA". It matches the Rfam family "Bacterial small subunit ribosomal RNA", at positions 8 to 521 of the family's 1533-position model. The record is from RNAcentral.
AGGGUUUGAUUAUGGCUCAGAACGAACGCUGGCGGCGUGGAUAAGACAUGCAAGUCGAGCGCUGAUUACAGGGUAGCAAUAUUCUGUAGUCGGAGCGGCGCAAGGGUGCGUAACACGUGGGCAAUCUGCCGUGAAGUCGGGGACAACUUGCUGAAAGGCGAGCUAAUACCGGAUGUGAAUGUUGGAAGGCAUCUUCCAAUUUUCAAAGUUGGGGACCGUAAGGCCUGACGCUUCAUGAUGAGCCCGCGGCCUAUCAGCUAGUUGGUGAGGUAACGGCUCACCAAGGCUAAGACGGGUAGCUGGUCUGAGAGGACGACCAGCCACACUGGAACUGAGACACGGUCCAGACACCUACGGGUGGCAGCAGUCGAGAAUUUUUCACAAUGGGGGAAACCCUGAUGGAGCGACGCCGCGUGGGGGAUGAAUGGCUUCGGCCCGUAAACCCCUGUCAUUUGCGAUCAACCGUUAUUAUUUAAAAGAUGAUAACCUGAUAGUAGCGAAAGAGGAAGGGACGGCUAACUCUGUGCCAGCAGCCGCGGU